UACAGAGGUCUCAAGCGUUGUUCGGAUUCAUUGGGCGUAAAGGGUGCGUAGGUGGCGCCGUAAGUCAGGUGUGAAAUUUCGGAGCUUAACUCCGAAACUGCAUUUGAUACUGCGGUGCUUGAGGACUGGAGAGGAGACUGGAAUUCACGGUGUAGCAGUGAAAUGCGUAGAUAUCGUGAGGAAGACCAGUGGCGAAGGCGGGUCUCUGGACAGUUCCUGACACUGAGGCACGAAGGCCAGGGGAGCAAACGGG
This 253-nucleotide ribosomal RNA is filed under the name uncultured bacterium. RNAcentral describes it as "partial 16S ribosomal RNA". It matches the Rfam family "Bacterial small subunit ribosomal RNA", at positions 524 to 776 of the family's 1533-position model. The record is from RNAcentral.